AGCGAACGCUGGCGGCAGGCCUAACACAUGCAAGUCGAACGAACCUUUCGGGGUUAGUGGCGGACGGGUGAGUAACACGUGGGAACAUGCCUUUAAGUUCGGAAUAACUCAGGGAAACUUGUGCUAAUACCGAAUGUGCCCUUCGGGGGAAAGAUUUAUCGCCUUUAGAGCGGCCCGCGUCUGAUUAGCUAGUUGGUUGAGGUAAUGGCUCACCAAGGCGACGAUCAGUAGCUGGUCUGAGAGGAUGAUCAGCCACAUUGGGACUGAGACACGGCCCAAACUCCUACGGGAGGCAGCAGUGGGGAAUCUUGCGCAAUGGGCGAAAGCCUGACGCAGCCAUGCCGCGUGAAUGAUGAAGGUCUUAGGAUUGUAAAAUUCUUUCACCGGGGACGAUAAUGACGGUACCCGGAGAAGAAGCCCCGGCUAACUUCGUG
This 434-nucleotide ribosomal RNA is filed under the name uncultured bacterium. RNAcentral's name for it is "partial 16S ribosomal RNA". It matches the Rfam family "Bacterial small subunit ribosomal RNA", at positions 29 to 507 of the family's 1533-position model. The record is from RNAcentral.